CCUACGGGUGGCAGCAGUGAGGAAUAUUGGUCAAUGGACGAGAGUCUGAACCAGCCAAGUAGCGUGAAGGAUGACUGCCCUAUGGGUUGUAAACUUCUUUUAUAUGGGAAUAAAAUGUUCCACGUGUGGGAUUUUGUAUGUACCAUAUGAAUAAGGAUCGGCUAACUCCGUGCCAGCAGCCGCGGUAAUACGGAGGAUCCGAGCGUUAUCCGGUGUUAUUGGGUUUAAAGGGAGCGUAGGUGGAUUGUUAAGUCAGUUGUGAAAGUUUGCGGCUCAAACGUAAAAUUGCAGUUGAAACUGGCAGUCUUGAGUACAGUAGAGGUGGGCGGAAUUCGUGGUGUAGCGGUGAAAUGCUUAGAUAUCACGAAGAACUCCGAUUGCGAAGGCAGUUCACUGGACUGCAACUGACACGGAGGCUCGAAAGUGUGGGUAUCAAACAGGAUUAGAUACCCUAGUAGUC
This 460-nucleotide ribosomal RNA is filed under the name uncultured bacterium. RNAcentral's name for it is "partial 16S ribosomal RNA". It matches the Rfam family "Bacterial small subunit ribosomal RNA", at positions 338 to 795 of the family's 1533-position model. The record is from RNAcentral.